Molecule: ribosomal RNA, 253 nt
Filed under: uncultured bacterium
Lineage: Bacteria
Description: partial 16S ribosomal RNA
Rfam family: Bacterial small subunit ribosomal RNA
Source: RNAcentral
UACGGAGAGGGCUAGCGUUGUUCGGAUUUACUGGGCGUAAAGGGCGCGUAGGCGGUUUAGUAAGUUAGAAGUGAAAGCCCAGGGCUUAACCUUGGAACUGCUUUUAAUACUGCUAAGCUUGAGAUCGAGAGAGGAUAGUGGAAUUCCUAGUGGAGAGGUGAAAUUCAUAGAUAUUAGGAGGAACACCAGUGGCGAAGGCGGCUAUCUGGCUCGAUACUGACGCUGAGGCGCGAAAGCGUGGGGAGCAAACAGG